AACAGGAUUAGAUACCCUGGUAGUCCACGCCGUAAACGAUGUCGACUUGGAGGUUGUGCCCUUGAGGCGUGGCUUCCGGAGCUAACGCGUUAAGUCGACCGCCUGGGGAGUACGGCCGCAAGGUUAAAACUCAAAUGAAUUGACGGGGGCCCGCACAAGCGGUGGAGCAUGUGGUUUAAUUCGAUGCAACGCGAAGAACCUUACCUACUCUUGACAUCCAGAGAACUUAGCAGAGAUGCUUUGGUGCCUUCGGGAACUCUGAGACAGGUGCUGCAUGGCUGUCGUCAGCUCGUGUUGUGAAAUGUUGGGUUAAGUCCCGCAACGAGCGCAACCCUUAUCCUUUGUUGCCAGCGGUUCGGCCGGGAACUCAAAGGAGACUGCCAGUGAUAAACUGGAGGAAGGUGGGGAUGACGUCAAGUCAUCAUGGCCCUUACGAGUAGGGCUACACACGUGCUACAAUGGCAUAUACAAAGAGAAGCGACCUCGCGAGAGCAAGCGGACCUCAUAAAGUAUGUCGUAGUCCGGAUUGGAGUCUGCAACUCGACUCCAUGAAGUCGGAAUCGCUAGUAAUCGUGGAUCAGAAUGCCACGGUGAAUACGUUCCCGGGCCUUGUACACACCGCCCGUCACACCAUGGGAGUGGGUUGCAAAAGAAGUAGGUAGUUUAACCUUCGGGAGGGCGCUUACCACUUUGUGAUUCAUGACUGGGGUGAAGUCGUAACAAGGUAACC
This 730-nucleotide ribosomal RNA is filed under the name uncultured bacterium. RNAcentral describes it as "bacterial SSU rRNA". It matches the Rfam family "Bacterial small subunit ribosomal RNA", at positions 771 to 1501 of the family's 1533-position model. The record is from RNAcentral.